GAAGAUUUCCGAAUGGGACAACCUAAUACAUUGAAGAUGUAUUGCACCGCAAGGUGAGCCAACCCCGUGAACUGAAACAUCUAAGUAGCGGGAGGAAAAGAAAACAAUAGUGAUUCCCCAAGUAGUGGCGAGCGAAAAGGGAAUAGCCCAAACCGGUGUAGCGUGCUACACCGGGGUUGUAGGACUGCAUUUAGAAAGUGUCGAUAAAACGAACCCUCUGGAAAGUGGGGCCAUAGCGUGUGAUAGCCACGUAGUUGUACCUUGACAUGGACGAGCAGUAUCCUGAGUAAGGCGGGACCGGAGAAAUCCUGCCUGAAUCUGCCGGCACCAUCCGGUAAGGCUAAAUACUCCUGAGAGACCGAUAGUGAACCAGUACCGUGAGGGAAAGGUGAAAAGCACCCCGA
Molecule: ribosomal RNA, 404 nt
Filed under: Chaetoceros curvisetus
Lineage: Eukaryota; Bacillariophyta; Thalassiosirophyceae; Chaetocerotales; Chaetocerotaceae
Description: partial Bacterial large subunit ribosomal RNA
Rfam family: Bacterial large subunit ribosomal RNA
Source: RNAcentral